UGGGGAAUAUUGCACAAUGGGCGCAAGCCUGAUGAAGCCAUGCCGCGUGUAUGAAGAAGGCCUUCGGGUUGUAAAGUACUUUCAGCGGGGAGGAAGGGAGUAAAGCUAAUACCUUUGCUCAUUGACGUUACCCGCAGAAGAAGCACCGGCUAACUCCGUGCCAGCAGCCGCGGUAAUACGGAGGGUGCAAGCGUUAAUCGGAAUUACUGGGCGUAAAGCGCACGCAGGCGGUUUGUUAAGUCAGAUGUGAAAUCCCCGGGCUCAACCUGGGAACUGCAUCUGAUACUGGCAAGCUUGAGUCUCGUAGAGGGGGGUAGAAUUCCAGGUGUAGCGGUGAAAUGCGUAGAGAUCUGGAGGAAUACCGGUGGCGAAGGCGGCCCCCUGGACGAAGACUGACGCUCAGGUGCGAAAGCGUGGGGAGCAAACAGG
Molecule: ribosomal RNA, 429 nt
Filed under: Chloroflexota bacterium
Lineage: Bacteria; Bacillati; Chloroflexota
Description: Chloroflexi bacterium partial 16S ribosomal RNA
Rfam family: Bacterial small subunit ribosomal RNA
Source: RNAcentral